GAUGAACGCUGGCGGCGUGCCUAAUACAUGCAAGUCGAACGCAUAGCGAAAGGUGCUUGCACCUUUCAAGUGAGUGGCGAACGGGUGAGUAACACGUGGACAACCUGCCUCAAGGCUGGGGAUAACAUUUGGAAACAGAUGCUAAUACCGAAUAAAACUUAGUGUCGCAUGACACAAAGUUAAAAGGCGCUUCGGCGUCACCUAGAGAUGGAUCCGCGGUGCAUUAGUUAGUUGGUGGGGUAAAGGCCUGCCAAGACAAUGAUGCAUAGCCGAGUUGAGAGACUGAUCGGCCACAUUGGGACUGAGACACGGCCCAAACUCCUACGGGAGGCUGCAGUAGGGAAUCUUCCACAAUGGGCGAAAGCCUGAUGGAGCAACGCCGCGUGUGUGAUGAAGGCUUUCGGGUCGUAAAGCACUGUUGUAUGGGAAGAACAGCUAGAAUAGGAAAUGAUUUUAGUUUGACGGUACCAGACCAGAAAGGGACGGCUAAAUACGUG
RNAcentral lists this ribosomal RNA (497 nucleotides) under uncultured bacterium. Its description in RNAcentral is "partial 16S ribosomal RNA". It matches the Rfam family "Bacterial small subunit ribosomal RNA", at positions 28 to 507 of the family's 1533-position model. The record is from RNAcentral.